RNAcentral lists this transfer RNA (73 nucleotides) under Cordylochernes scorpioides. RNAcentral describes it as "tRNA-Phe". It matches the Rfam family "tRNA". Rfam says of the family: Transfer RNA (tRNA) molecules are approximately 80 nucleotides in length. Lineage: Eukaryota; Metazoa; Arthropoda; Arachnida; Pseudoscorpiones; Chernetidae. The record is from RNAcentral.
GCCGGAAUAGCUCGGAUAGGAGAGCGUUAGACUGAAUAUCUAAAUGUCCCUGGUUCGAUCCCGGGCUUCGGCA